Molecule: ribosomal RNA, 1443 nt
Filed under: uncultured organism
Description: SSU rRNA
Rfam family: Bacterial small subunit ribosomal RNA
Source: RNAcentral
CAGGCUUAACACAUGCAAGUCGAGGGGCAGCAUGGUCUUAGCUUGCUAAGGCCGAUGGCGACCGGCGCACGGGUGAGUAACGCGUAUCCAACCUGCCUUACACUCUUGGACAGCCUUCUGAAAGGGAGAUUAAUACAAGAUGUUAUCAUGAGUAAGCAUUUUCGCAUGAUUAAAGGUUUACCGGUGUAAGAUGGGGAUGCGUUCCAUUAGAUAGUAGGCGGGGUAACGGCCCACCUAGUCUUCGAUGGAUAGGGGUUCUGAGAGGAAGGUCCCCCACAUUGGAACUGAGACACGGUCCAAACUCCUACGGGAGGCAGCAGUGAGGAAUAUUGGUCAAUGGACGAGAGUCUGAACCAGCCAAGUAGCGUGAAGGAUGAAGGUUCUAUGGAUUGUAAACUUCUUUUAUACGGGAAUAAACGAAUCCACGUGUGGAUUUUUGCAUGUACCGUAUGAAUAAGGAUCGGCUAACUCCGUGCCAGCAGCCGCGGUAAUACGGAGGAUCCGAGCGUUAUCCGGAUUUAUUGGGUUUAAAGGGAGCGUAGAUGGGUUGUUAAGUCAGUUGUGAAAGUUUGCGGCUCAACCGUAAAAUUGCAAUUGAUACUGGCAGUCUUGAGUACAGUUGAGGUAGGCGGAAUUCGUGGUGUAGCGGUGAAAUGCUUAGAUAUCACGAAGAACUCCGAUUGCGAAGGCAGCUUACUAACCUGUAACUGACAUUGAUGCUCGAAAGUGUGGGUAUCAAACAGGAUUAGAUACCCUGGUAGUCCACACGGUAAACGAUGAAUACUCGCUGUAGGCGAUAUACAGUCUGCGGCCAAGCGAAAGCAUUAAGUAUUCCACCUGGGGAGUACGCCGGCAACGGCGAAACUCAAAGGAAUUGACGGGGGCCCGCACAAGCGGAGGAACAUGUGGUUUAAUUCGAUGAUACGCGAGGAACCUUACCCGGGCUUAAAUUGCAACCGAAUAUGGCGGAAACGCUAUAGCUAGCAAUAGCGGUUGUGAAGGUGCUGCAUGGUUGUCGUCAGCUCGUGCCGUGAGGUGUCGGCUUAAGUGCCAUAACGAGCGCAACCCUUGCCGAUAGUUACUAACAGGUCAUGCUGAGGACUCUGUCGGGACUGCCAUCGUAAGAUGUGAGGAAGGUGGGGAUGACGUCAAAUCAGCACGGCCCUUACGUCCGGGGCUACACACGUGUUACAAUGGGGGGUACAGAGGGCUGCUACCACGCAAGUGGAUGCCAAUCCCAAAAACCUCUCUCAGUUCGGAUUGAAGUCUGCAACCCGACUUCAUGAAGCUGGAUUCGCUAGUAAUCGCGCAUCAGCCACGGCGCGGUGAAUACGUUCCCGGGCCUUGUACACACCGCCCGUCAAGCCAUGGGAGCCGGGGGUACCUGAAGUGCGUAACCGCAAGGAGCGCCCUAGGGUAAAACUGGUGACUGGGGCUAAGUCG